CUGGGCGUAAAGCGCACGCAGGCGGUUUGUUAAGUCAGAUGUGAAAUCCCCGGGCUCAACCUGGGAACUGCAUCUGAUACUGGCAAGCUUGAGUCUCGUAGAGGGGGGUAGAAUUCCGGGUGUAGCGGUGAAAUGCGUAGAGAUCUGGAGGAAUACCGGUGGCGAAGGCGGCCCCCUGGACGAAGACUGACGCUCAGGUGCGAAAGCGUGGGGAGCAAACAGGAUUAGAUACCCUGGUAGUCCACGCCGUAAACGAUGUCGACUUGGAGGUUGUGCCCUUGAGGCGUGGCUUCCGGAGCUAACGCGUUAAGUCGACCGCCUGGGGAGUACGGCCGCAAGGUUAAAACUCAAAUGAAUUGACGGGGGCCCGCACAAGCGGUGGAGCAUGUGGUUUAAUUCGAUGCAACGCGAAGAACCUUACCUGGUCUUGACAUCCACGGAAGUUUUCAGAGAUGAGAAUGUGCCUUCGGGAACCGUGAGACAGGUGCUGCAUGGCUGUCGUCAGCUCGUGUUGUGAAAUGUUGGGUUAAGUCCCGCAACGAGCGCAACCCUUAUCCUUUGUUGCCAGCGGUCCGGCCGGGAACUCAAAGGAGACUGCCAGUGAUAAACUGGAGGAAGGUGGGGCUGACGUCAAGUCAUCAUGGCCCUUACGACCAGGGCUACACACGUGCUACAAUGGCGCAUACAAAGAGAAGCGACCUCGCGAGAGCAAGCGGACCUCAUAAAGUGCGUCGUAGUCCGGAUUGGAGUCUGCAACUCGACUCCAUGAAGUCGGAAUCGCUAGUAAU
RNAcentral lists this ribosomal RNA (788 nucleotides) under uncultured Escherichia sp. RNAcentral describes it as "bacterial SSU rRNA". It matches the Rfam family "Bacterial small subunit ribosomal RNA", at positions 554 to 1342 of the family's 1533-position model. The record is from RNAcentral. Lineage: Bacteria; Pseudomonadati; Pseudomonadota; Gammaproteobacteria; Enterobacterales; Enterobacteriaceae.